UACGAGGGGUCCUAGCGUUGUUCGGAAUCAUUGGGCGUAAAGGGUGCGUAGGUUGCUAUUCAAGUCAGUUGUGAAAUCCCCGGGCUCAACCCGGGAAGUGCUUCUGAUACUGUUUAGCUUGAGUACUGGAGAGGAUAGUAGAAUUCCAGGUGUAGUGGUGAAAUACGUAGAUAUCUGGAGGAAUACCGGUGGCGAAGGCGGCUAUCUGGCCCGAUACUGACGCUGAGGUGCGAAAGCGUGGGGAGCAAACAGG
This 253-nucleotide ribosomal RNA is filed under the name uncultured bacterium. Its description in RNAcentral is "partial 16S ribosomal RNA". It matches the Rfam family "Bacterial small subunit ribosomal RNA", at positions 524 to 776 of the family's 1533-position model. The record is from RNAcentral.